AGUUUUGAACUCAAGUGGCGGACGGGUGAGUAACACGUAAGAAUUUACCUUUAGGAGGGGGACAACAACUGGAAACGGUUGCUAAUACCCCAUAUGCUUUCGAGUGAAACGGAUUUCCGCCUAAAGAGAAGCUUGCGGCUGAUUAGCUUGUUGGUAAGGUAAUGGCUUACCAAGGCGACGAUCAGUAUCUGGUUUGAGAGGACGACCAGACACACUGGAACUGAGACACGGUCCAG
This 236-nucleotide ribosomal RNA is filed under the name uncultured bacterium. RNAcentral's name for it is "partial 16S ribosomal RNA". It matches the Rfam family "Bacterial small subunit ribosomal RNA", at positions 81 to 334 of the family's 1533-position model. The record is from RNAcentral.